This 468-nucleotide long non-coding RNA is filed under the name Homo sapiens (human). RNAcentral's name for it is "HSALNT0358034". Lineage: Eukaryota; Metazoa; Chordata; Mammalia; Primates; Hominidae. The record is from RNAcentral.
AAAUAACUGUAGUUUAAAGGUUACUUAACUAAGAGUACUAGACAUAACUGCCCUCACAGCACUCCUGAUAUGUGACUUAUCACCAGAUCCUGCGAUUGCUGACAGCGGUGCACAGAACAGUCUGGAAUGUUGCUAGGAAUGACACCAAGCCUAGUUCUUGAGAGAAGUAUCACUGAAGUGGCCUAAAGGAUAAAUGAACAUCAACUGGAGGAAACAGCAUGAGGCGGAGGCAGAAUGUAUCAAGGCAAACAUGUGGACAGGCAGAUGGAAAGGAUACUGCAGAGAAGACCAAGAAAGAGAAAUAGGAAGAAAAUGCAGAGUGGGUUGUCAUGGAAUCUUCAAGAAGGAAGCUCAUUGCCUGACCCACUUGUUUCAUAAUGCAAUGAAAUGCUAAAGAAUUUUAACUCCAUAAGGAAAAUCAGGGCAAGACAAUAAAAGAAACAUUAAAUAUUAGUAAAAGUACACUCA